This 159-nucleotide ribosomal RNA is filed under the name uncultured bacterium. Its description in RNAcentral is "partial 16S ribosomal RNA". It matches the Rfam family "Bacterial small subunit ribosomal RNA", at positions 337 to 508 of the family's 1533-position model. The record is from RNAcentral.
UCCUACGGGAGGCAGCAGUGGGGAAUAUUGGACAAUGGGCGAAAGCCUGAUCCAGCAACGCCGCGUGAGGGAUGACGGCCUUCGGGUUGUAAACCUCUUUCAGCAGGGACGAAGCGAAAGUGACGGUACCUGCAGAAGAAGGACCGGCCAACUACGUGC